This 477-nucleotide ribosomal RNA is filed under the name uncultured bacterium. Its description in RNAcentral is "bacterial SSU rRNA". It matches the Rfam family "Bacterial small subunit ribosomal RNA", at positions 1014 to 1498 of the family's 1533-position model. The record is from RNAcentral.
AGUUUACUAGAGCUUUCAUACAGGUGCUGCACGGCCGUCGUCAGCUCGUGUCGUGAGAUGUUGGGUUAAGUCCCGCAACGAGCGCAACCCUCGUGUUUAGUUACUAACAGUUCGGCUGAGGACUCUAAACAGACUGCCUGGGCAACCAGGAGGAAGGUGAGGACGACGUCAAGUCAUCAUGGCCCUUACGGCCAGGGCUACACACGUGCUACAAUGGGGUAUACAAAGAGCCGCGAUACCGUGAGGUGGAGCAAAUCUCGUAAAAUAUCUCCCAGUUCGGAUAGCAGUCUGCAACUCGACUGCUUGAAGUUGGAAUCGCUAGUAAUCGUAGAUCAGCAAUGCUACGGUGAAUACGUUCCCGGGUCUUGUACUCACCGCCCGUCACACCAUGGGAAUUGAAUUCAUUCGAAGCGGGGAUGCUAAAAUAGCUACCUUCCACAGUGGAUUUAGUAACUAGGGUGAAGUCGUAACAAGGUA